GGCAAUAUUGUGGCAAAAAAUCCAUUUAAAUUCGAUAGGUAUUGAUUUUACUAUAUCAAUUUACGCAUUCGUAAUGCGAAGGUCGUAGGUUCGACUCCUAUUAUCGGCACCA
RNAcentral lists this transfer RNA (112 nucleotides) under Escherichia coli. RNAcentral's name for it is "tRNA-Ser". RNAcentral also lists the same sequence under 2 other names. Lineage: Bacteria; Pseudomonadati; Pseudomonadota; Gammaproteobacteria; Enterobacterales; Enterobacteriaceae. The record is from RNAcentral.